This 199-nucleotide ribosomal RNA is filed under the name Acinetobacter baumannii. Its description in RNAcentral is "partial 16S ribosomal RNA". It matches the Rfam family "Bacterial small subunit ribosomal RNA", at positions 1 to 211 of the family's 1533-position model. Lineage: Bacteria; Pseudomonadati; Pseudomonadota; Gammaproteobacteria; Moraxellales; Moraxellaceae. The record is from RNAcentral.
UUUAACUGAAGAGUUUGAUCAUGGCUCAGAUUGAACGCUGGCGGCAGGCUUAACACAUGCAAGUCGAGCGGGGGAAGGUAGCUUGCUACUGGACCUAGCGGCGGACGGGUGAGUAAUGCUUAGGAAUCUGCCUAUUAGUGGGGGACAACAUCUCGAAAGGGAUGCUAAUACCGCAUACGUCCUACGGGAGAAAGCAGGG